GAGUUAAAGUAUAAUUAAGCUUCUAACUUAAUUAAUAGCAUUUUUGUUAUUAACUCU
Molecule: transfer RNA, 57 nt
Filed under: Tychobythinus sp. 1 EF-2015
Lineage: Eukaryota; Metazoa; Arthropoda; Insecta; Coleoptera; Staphylinidae
Description: tRNA-Ser
Source: RNAcentral